GAGAAACCCACAUGUCCCCAUUCCUUUGCCUUUUGAUUAUUUUAUUUUUUGAUUUUGCUCGGCUUUUAGUCUUCCACGCCGAGUCUCCUAUAGUAGGUGGCACAGAACAUGAUUUGUGGCACAUAACACAAUAAAAUAUUAUAAAAACAUUUGAAUGCAGAGUCUCUGCAGAGUGUGGGCACAAAGAAAGAUAAAAUAAUAUAAAAAAAACUGACAACAAAUAUUUAAAAUAAUAAGUUAAUCCAGGUUUGUGGCACAUAACACAAUAAAAAAUUAAAAAAAAAUUUUGAACGCAUGGAAACCAAAUAUUAAAAAUUGUGAGAAGCCCCGCUGUCUUCCACCUUGCCCUUGGUUAUUUUAUUUUUUGGUUUUGCUCUGCUUUUUGUCUUCCACGUGUUGAUCAUCAAGGGAUUUUCUGUUGAGAAGGCUUCUCCCUUUAUCUUUCAUUUUUAUCUCUUUCUAUCCUCAAUUUUUCCUUUGCUUUUUCUGCUUCUUUCUUUCACGUUUUAGCAAACGGUGUUGUGUUGCCAUUGUCACGCUAGUUCUACUUUAGGUAUGUCGUUCUUCUUUUUUUUCUUUUUUUUUUUCUACUUAUUUUUGCUUAUUUUCUGUUCUUGGGUAAAUUUGGUGUUUAAUUUAGAGCACAGGAAAUAGGAAAUAAUUAUUAAACGGCGCUUUUGGCAAUCGUUUGCUUUCUUCGUUGUCUUUGUUUGCUUCUCCCGCUCUUGCCAGUCCUUUUCUUUUGUUUUUGAAUCGUUCUCAACACCUGAACCAAGUGAUCAAUCUUAUAAACGAAAAAGAGAAUCUGUGAGAAGAGCGUUUUUCAUUCCUGGUGAACAAAGUGAAUCUGAAGAAAUUUCUGGAGUUGAUCCAAGAGAUUGUAUGAGGUUCCGAGCAAGUUAUUAAAAAAAAAAACACCUCCUACUCAGGCAAAGCCACACAGCAGCAUUGGAAACAAUGAUUAGGUUGCUUUAUCAAUGACAACAAGGGCUGAAGACACCUUUCACUACUCUGAUCAAGAAUGUUUACCGUGUUUUGUUUAUCUAUAUUAAAUCAUGUUUAAAAACCUCUACAUAUCUUUUUUUGCCCAAAACUCAACAAUAUUUUUUUGCAUCCCCAUACAACAACAUCUCCUCAUUUUUUGUAUGCAAAAGCUGGAACACAGUAUAUUAGAUGGGGUUAUUAGAAGAAAUUCAGUUAUUAUAAUGUUUUUUGUAUCUUUAUGCCAGGAAUUUCUAUUUUUUGUAACUGAAUGUAAUCCUCCUGGUUCAGAAA
Long non-coding RNA from Pyrus x bretschneideri (Chinese white pear), 1275 nucleotides. RefSeq lists it as uncharacterized. The record is from RefSeq and is a predicted model, not a curated record. Lineage: Eukaryota; Viridiplantae; Streptophyta; Magnoliopsida; Rosales; Rosaceae. The transcript has 3 exons.